ACAAACGCGGGAGGCUGUGACACACGGUCCCCAACCCGGUCGCCUGAACCGUGUCGAGCCACUGGCGAGACCGCCCGACGUCAGG
Molecule: non-coding RNA, 85 nt
Filed under: unclassified sequences
Description: c-di-GMP sequence
Rfam family: c-di-GMP-II-GAG riboswitch aptamer
Source: Rfam by way of RNAcentral